UACGUAGGGUGCAAGCGUUGUCCGGAAUUAUUGGGUGUAAAGAGCUCGUAGGCGGUCUGUCGCGUCGGCUGUGAAAUCCCGAGGCUCAACCUCGGGUCUGCAGUCGAUACGGGCAAACUAGAGUAUUGCAGGGGAGACUGGAAUUCCUGGUGUAGCGGUGAAAUGCGCAGAUAUCAGGAGGAACACCGGUGGCGAAGGCGGGUCUCUGGGCAAUAACUGACGCUGGAGGAGCGAAAGCGUGGGGAGCAAACAGG
Molecule: ribosomal RNA, 254 nt
Filed under: uncultured bacterium
Lineage: Bacteria
Description: partial 16S ribosomal RNA
Rfam family: Bacterial small subunit ribosomal RNA
Source: RNAcentral